Molecule: ribosomal RNA, 450 nt
Filed under: uncultured bacterium
Lineage: Bacteria
Description: bacterial SSU rRNA
Rfam family: Bacterial small subunit ribosomal RNA
Source: RNAcentral
GUGGGGAAUAUUGGACAAUGGGGGGAACCCUGAUCCAGCCAUGCCGCGUGUGUGAAGAAGGCCUUUUGGUUGUAAAGCACUUUAAGUUGGGAGGAAGGGCAGUAAGUUAAUACCUUGCUGUUUUGACGUUACCGACAGAAUAAGCACCGGCUAACUCUGUGCCAGCAGCCGCGGUAAUACAGAGGGUGCAAGCGUUAAUCGGAUUUACUGGGCGUAAAGCGCGCGUAGGUGGCCAAGUAAGUCAAAUGUGAAAUCACCGAGCUUAACUUGGGAAUUGCAUUCGAUACUGGUUGGCUAGAGUAUGGGAGAGGAUGGUAGAAUUCCAGGUGUGGCGGUGAAAUGCGUAGACAUCUGGAGGAAUACCGAUGGCGAAGGCAGCCAUCUGGCCUAAUACUGACACUGAGGUGCGAAAGCAUGGAGAGCAAACAGGAUUAGAUACCCCGGUAGUCC